UGCCUCACAGUUUAUUUCUGUGUUUUUUGUAGUCAGGACCUAUUUUUUUCAUUUCUGUGCACUGGGUGUGGCUAGGCUCUUUUUUGGUUUUUUGGUGUAUGACUGUGUGCUUAAGCUCUUUAUUGGUUUUUUGACAGUCAGGACCUGGUUUUGUGUUUCUGUGCACUAGGUGUGGCUGUUUGGCUAGGCUCUUUGUUGGUUUUUUGGAGUAUGGAUGUGUGGCUAGGCUCUCAUAGUCUCAUGUAGAUUGGUGAUCCAUGUCCUACAUCUUUGUUGAAAACCAAUCUUCCAUGUUAACUAAGCCGAUUAAACUAAAAUUUUAACUAACGCGAUGUUUGUUGAUAAUCAAAUGGAUAUGAAGUGGAUCAUUAGCCAACUAAUAUUAAUUGAUAUAUUAUUUCAUGCAAUUGGGUUUGAAUUUGUGUGGAUGUGUUGAUUAUUUCAAUUGAGUAUUAUUGAAAUUCUUGACAGCUUUGUGAUAUUGUUUGUUGUCAUUUCUAGGCUUUAUUUUCUCUAAGUUGUCAAUUUUAUUAUGUUUCUUUGUUGAGCUGAGUUUAUCUUCUUUUUUUUCCUUUUCAGAAUUAAAAGGUCCGAGGACAUCCAUGUGGAAAUAUGGAGAGGAUUGAUUCAACCCAGCGAUUUUAAGAAUGGUCUCCCGAAACCAACUUAUGAGUUAACUGUUAAAGGAGGAUACAAAUAGAAGGAAUCGAGGUUACAAGUAUAAAUUUGUAACUAUAUGGUUUAUAAUUGAUGAUUCUAGGUAUAUGAUAUUAACUCUAUUAUUAUGGAAUGAUUUUAGUAUAUAUAAGUAUAAUUUAUGCUAUUAGGUGUAUGAUACUCUAUUAUUAUAGUAUGAUGAUUUUAGUGUAGAAGUAUAAUUUUGUAACUUUAUGUUAUUAAUGGAUGAUUUNNNN
Molecule: long non-coding RNA, 914 nt
Filed under: Trifolium pratense (red clover)
Lineage: Eukaryota; Viridiplantae; Streptophyta; Magnoliopsida; Fabales; Fabaceae
Description: long non-coding RNA (TPRA_LNC007056)
Source: RNAcentral